ACCAUGAGGGGGAAUAGACAGAAAGGCAAGGGUAACAACGGGCCAGCAGGCGCGGUAAUACGUAGGUGGCAAGCGUUGUCAGGAUUGAUUGGGCGUAGAGCGCGGGCAGGCGGUCUUUUAAGUCUGAUGGGAAAGCCCCCGGCUUAACCGGGGAGGGUCAUGGGAAACUGGAAGACUGGAGUGCAGAAGAGGAGAGUGGAAUUCCACGUGUAGCGGUGAAAUGCGUAGAUAUGUGGAGGAACACAAGUGGCGAAGGCGACUCUCUGGUCUGUAACUGACGCUGAGGCGCGAAAGCGUGGGGAGCAAACAGGAUUAGAUACCCUGGUAGUCCACGCCGUUAACGAUGAGUGCUAAGUGUUAGGGGGGUUCCGCCGCUUAGUGCUGUAGCUAACGCAUUAAGCACUCCGCCUGGGGAGUACGACCGCCAGGUUGAAACUCAAAGGAAUUUACGGGGGCCCGCACAAGCGGCUGAGCCGGUGGUUCACUUCGACGAAUCGAGCAAUACCUUCCACGGUCUU
RNAcentral lists this ribosomal RNA (518 nucleotides) under Listeria monocytogenes. RNAcentral describes it as "bacterial SSU rRNA". It matches the Rfam family "Bacterial small subunit ribosomal RNA", at positions 466 to 982 of the family's 1533-position model. Lineage: Bacteria; Bacillati; Bacillota; Bacilli; Caryophanales; Listeriaceae. The record is from RNAcentral.